This is a long non-coding RNA of Prinia subflava (tawny-flanked prinia), 1240 nucleotides long. RefSeq lists it as uncharacterized. NCBI's taxonomy places the organism in Eukaryota, Metazoa, Chordata, Aves, Passeriformes, Cisticolidae. The record is from RefSeq and is a predicted model, not a curated record. The transcript is spliced from 3 exons.
CAGUGUUCCCAGCAUCUGAGAGAUACAGCUUUUGUAACAAUUCUUAGAGAAGUGCCACCACCUCUGGAAUGCAGUGCAGUCAAAUGGAAGGUUUUCUGCACAGCACAGAGAAGCGUGCUAAUGUGCUAUACUACCUGCCAAAUAUUUAUGCCAUCAGCUGUAACUUCAGAUAGAGGAGCAAGAAAGGAAAAGAAAAGAAAGCUGAUCUGGCACUCCAAUCAAAAGGGCUUUUUGAUGGAAGUUACUUGGUGCUAAGGUCAGACGCUGUCCUGAUGGUUUGGAAGAUAACAGGCUUCAGAUCUGUGGCCUUUACCUGCUCAAGAGCACCCAGCUCUCCAAGACAAUGACUCAGUUACUGCGAUUGCUCAGCUUUUAUUAAUGGUCUGACUGCAGCAAAGCUGCUCACUCGUGCUGCCUGCAGUGAUGAGAAUAGUUUCCUGCAAAGGCAGUGGAUGCAACCAGUGAGCACAUGGAGCAGCCAGAAACCAGUAACAAUCAUGUUUUGACCUGCUAAACUGACCCCAACGAGGGCUUUGGGCAGACCAAAGUCUUCCUGCACUGACCAGUGGAGUUUUGUUAUCUGUACCAUGGAUGUGGAGAGAAGACCUGGAAGCGAAUCAUGGAGGAUUUUAAGCAGAAUGCCAGCUGCUGUUUGGAGACCAUGCCAUGGUUCUCCUACAGCAAAGCCAUAAAGAAAAUCCUAGGCUUUUUAGAGUGUUUUCUAACCCCAACUACCUUUCUCCAUGGCACAGGAUCUUAACAGUCAUGCUAAAAUAUCUUGGGAGCAGAUGUGUUCUUACAAAAGAGAGAGAGAAAUUCACUACAGAAAGGGUUGGAGUGAAAGUCAGGCCCAGAUGAAGAAACAAAGGAGGAAAAGCAGCUAACAAAAGAGAAGCAGCUAUCACCAGCAUUUGUAAUGUUAGUCAUGGAGUGACUGUGCAUGUCCAGUCUUGAGUCAGUUUGUCACAACUUACUUGUUUAGGAUUGUUCUGAUUGGACAUUCUUUAGUGACACCCUCAAAUUUUUGAGACUUUGGACUUUUUAUUCCAUCCAAGUAUUAUAUUCUCACUACUCACUGCAGCAGAUUCUCACAUAUGAACUUGGUCCUCAUAUGUUUCAGGAGCUCUGAGAUUGCUGAGUAUUUAUAAAAACAGCAUGCAUUUCUCUAGGAUAUUCAUCUGUGGAAUCUGGUUCAACAUACCAUUCACUCUCACAUUCUUUCUAGGAGAUAAUUCACUGA